AUUUAAAUAAUUUAAUUAAAAUAUUGAUUUGUGGUAUCAAAAAUAUGAUGAAUGUCAUUUUAAAUU
RNAcentral lists this transfer RNA (66 nucleotides) under Prophantis adusta. RNAcentral describes it as "tRNA-His". Lineage: Eukaryota; Metazoa; Arthropoda; Insecta; Lepidoptera; Crambidae. The record is from RNAcentral.